UCCAGCAUUGUCGAGCUUCUGAAAGACAAAACUUGUGAUUUGACACUAGCAUCCAGAAAAGGUUUCUGUCUAGAUUAGCAAAUGCCUAAAUUGUUCUUGGUUACAUCCCAUGACCGGUUUUAGGCAGUGACUUCAUACUGCUUUUAGGAUUUUCUUGUACACUGGUGAGAAAAUAGGCAGGUCUGAUAGUGGUUUCACUUUUUUUCUACUUCACGUUCCAUAAGAUUCUUUUAUCCAAGCGAUUGUUUUAAAAUUCUACUGUAAGCGUUUGUGGUUCACUUUUUUUUUCUUUGCAGCACCCGGGCCUUUUUUUUUUUCUCUAAAUCGGGAGUAAAUAUAGCUGAGUAAAAUUACCUUGGUUAUCUUCCUUCUUUUUAAACUUAAUUGUUUUUAUUAAUAAUUCUAUCUGAAUAUGCAGAAAAAGUGAGUAUGUCCUGUAAUCUAUGCUAGCUUUUCUCGUUUACAGGGUACUCACAAAAUAUGUCUCCCUUAGUGUCCCACGGAAACAUUCUGGGUGCAAUCUGAAUUAAGGUAUGUGUUUUCAAAUAAGUAAUCAGUUUAGAUAUUUGCCUGUGUACCUUUUCCUGUAAUUCAGAGCUUGUGUUCUGUGGGUUUUAUGAUAAACCUGUAAAACAUGUAAGAAUGGUUUUGCAAGUCUGAAUCGUUGAAGGCAGCAAUAAGUGGAUUUAAAGCCUGUUCUUGAGCAGACAAAGGGGAAAAGUGUGACUCUGAUGCUGAACUUGUCAUUUUUCAUUUGACUUGCCUUUAAUUAUUGAAGAAGAGAGAGAACUAGGAAAAGAAAUAGAAUUGAUUAUUGAGCACUCCUAAAAAGCUCACCAUGAUUCUGUGUAGAGCCAAAGUGAAGGAUGAUGGAACAGAGCUCUGUGCAUUAGAAGGAAAUAAACCUGAUGUCCACACAGAGUCUUACUAAUUUCUGUUUUUAAAAUGCAAAAUAAGUUUAGGAAGUGUUGGAAGUUAGUAUUUUGGGAAAGAAAUGGCAGUUCCACAAAACAUUCCAUUCCAUUUAAGAGAGGCCCUUGGACUGAUUCAUGUUGUAACUGCUGUCACUGCAAUCAGUUGGUGGUUCAGCCUUGAAACGUGCACUUGGCCUUCUAUAAAGCACUGUUUUGUUUGCCUUUCAGUGCUAUGAGUCUUGAUAAAUUGGAGAAGUGCCCAAGAGAAAUUCAUCAUCCUGAGAUACAAAAGGUAGGAAGUGACUUUUUCUGGUUUGGUUCUUUUUCUUUAUUGUUUUCUGGAAAUAGAAGUAAUUAAGUAUAGAUACUACUGGUUUGUUUCUUCCAGUAGCUGAUAAUACUAAUACCAAUAAUAAUAAUAAUAAUAAUAGUAAAGUAAUACUACUUCAACUGUCUUUAUUUAUCCAUUGAACUGGCCAUUUUAAAUCUAAACUUCUAAACACAAAUCAAACCAUCAUCCUUGUAGAAUCUUUAAUAGGAGUGGGCUAAAGAUCCUGGUUUUGUUGACAGGAUUUAUUGGUUCAUGAACAGCAAGAGGUAAGUACAAGCCUAACUACCCUCUAGCUCACAGACCUGCCCGGUGAAUAGAGCUUUGUUUUUUUGAUGGGCUUGUGAUGACUUUGAGAUCAAUUGCUCAUUCAUUACAGUAAAAAAAAAAAAAUUGUUUUGAGCAUGACAGCAAAAAUAACUUUAAGCACAACUUAAUAAUAAUAAUAGAUCACCAAUUUUAGUUAAUAAUUUUAUGCUAUACUCUUGGGUGAGGGAAGACUCGGACACUCAAUAUGAGAUCAGCAAGCUAUGUUUAUUGCAGAGAGUAUCAGACACUUAUACAGCACAUAAUAAGCUUAUGAAUAUUCUGUAAGCCAAGCGAUCUAUUGGUUAAACUAUACCAUCAACUCUUCCUCAUUCCUUUGGGCCUACAUUCCCUAUUUCCCACGUCUCUCUGUCUACUUGUUAUCCUACCCAGCUAGGCCCAGGCACACGCUAUCUUGCAGGUGCAAAACUCAAAAAUACCUGUGUUCGGUACUUUCCCAGCUCCUGGUCGGCUAACGAGCGAAUGUCUGCGUGACCUCUGUCAUGGAGCCAUUUCUCCACACUAUACUAUCAAAGUUUAAAGGUAAAUUAUUAUAUAUUAGGAGAUGGUGUAAAGUGUAUGUUGUAAUGUGUAGGAUAUAUACAAAGAUACGUACUUGAAAGUCCGUAGAGGAAACAAAUUUUUACGCCUUCUGUUUGACUGUUUGUCAUAUAUUUGGUUUUAUUUCCCAGGGAUCAGUGAAUUUUAACUCUGGAGUCCUCUAUGCUAAGGAUGCUCAGCUUAGAGAUGAUGAAAUGUUCAGUAAUGUAUUUGCUGCAGCUCUGCUUACCCAAGCUUUGGGUUCCCUCUGUCUCACUGGGAGUUGCCCAAUUCAGUUGCAUCUGGUGAAAUUCACCCUGAGACCUUACAGAACCAGCUCCAACUACGUGAGAGCCAUUUGCAGUUCUCUCCAGACACCUGGAGAAUGGGCGACAUUUCUGAGAAUCCGGCGAGCGUGCUUCUAUCAAAACUCAGUCUGUGAAAUUCCUGGGGAAAACCCUUCUGUGUCCUGAAGGGUUCAAACUCUGGAUUUUUUGUCUUUGCAAAAUAUUGUGCAUUUCACUCUUUGGAACCUCUCAGAUGGUUCUCUGGUGCAGCACCACCCCAUGGGACACUUGGCUGCUGUCCUGAAGGGUUUGGUCGCUAGAAUUGUGAAUCCUGGAGAGUUUGUGAGUCUUCUGUCCCCAGGGAGGGAAAGACUCUCGUAUCCUUGUCAUCGGGCUCGGUGCUGUCCAAGAAGAUACAGAGACUAAAAAAAUCAUAAGAAGCAAAAUAUGACUGCAGGGAAAAGAAGCUGGAGAGAACAGAAGACUCAUCACGGCGGGACAGCGUGAAGACUGAAAGUGUAAGAAGAUGUGGAGGGAAACAGAGAAUCUGACAGGAGCAUCGGAGGGACGAGUGCACGAAUUUUGCUUUUUGCUUGGAUGUAAACUCAGGAGUUGAGAGGAAUUUGGGAGUGAGAAGGGACAUUUUAGAAGGAGAAGAAGAAAAAGAAGUUGUUGCUACAGUCCUGGCAAAAUCUUUUGUUCUAGCUAAUAAAAGAAGUUAGUUUAAAAAACAAAAAGGAAAAAAUGUAGUGUUUUUUUUUUCCUUCACUAUGAUAUUCAUUGGUGGUAUAUGGUGUGUUGUUUCAUUUCUUGGUAUUAUUAACUCUGUGUAAAUUGUUUUUUGAGUGAAGCUGACUUUCUGGAUGGGUUGGUUUGUAUUUGAGGCAGGAUUAAUUUCAGUAGGGUUCUUUCAUAGAUUUCUGAUGGGUAUUACUGGGAUUUUGGUUUUGUUUACUGUAUGUAUGAACCUAGAGCUUUGGUAGGGCCAGCUGGGCUGCUGGAGUUUUGGGUGUGAAUUUAUUAGAUGGCUUUUGUUAGAUGCAGUUUUUAAUUUUUGAAAUGUUUUUCAAUGUAGUGGUUUUAAGGUGGUUUUUAAGAAUUCAUUGUAUUGCUUUAUCUUGUUUGUAGUUGGUGUAUGAUAAGGGAUGUGGUGUGAGUUCUUGAACAUUAUGGUUUUGGUGUUCCUAAGUUCUGAUUUCUUUGUGGUUCAAUAGCUUUUUUUAUUUUUAUUUUUUGGGACAGGGGCAUUUAUAUGGUGGGUUUUUAUAGGCAAUAUGUUUUUUAAUUUAGGUAGUGAUAUUUUUUAAUAUUUUAAUAGUUUAGGUUUUUUAUUUUCAUGGUUUUAAUUAUUUUUUUUAAUUUUUUGAAAUAACUUUUAUAGAUUACAUGUUAUUAUUUGUGCAUUAACAUAAAGGUAGAGCUUUGGGGACUUUUUUUAGUAAUGUUUAGGGUCAGUUGUGCAGUUUUGAGUCUAGUGCGUUGGUUUGAUUUAAUUUUUAAUGGGUGUUUGUUUUUAUUAGCAGUUGUGUCAUUUUCAGGGUGUGUUUGAGUUUUUUGGGGUUUUUGAGAUACUGGUUUAGGAGGAAGUUUAUGAUGAGCAUGUGCGGAGGUUUUGGGCUACUUUAUAGUGGGAUUUAAAAUUUAUUUACAGUUAGGUUUAUUUGAGUUUUUAUUAGGGUUCAGUGACGUUGUGGGAUGUUUGUUCCGUUAGUAACAGAAAUAGGUUUUGUUUUGCUGUGCUGCGAUGGGAUGGGCGUGUGCUGCGUGCCGGUGCUGACAAAGGUACAGUAUUGUUGUGGCUCUGGUGCGUCGGGUUAAUGAACUGACAUGGUUUAAUGUAGAGAUGAAAAUAGAAAUAAAUAUACAUUUAAAAAUAAAUAUAACAUUAGAGUGGUAAACAUAAAUAUAGAUAACAGAUACAUACAUAAAACUAUAAUAUAUGGUAUAUAAUUGUAACAUGUUAUCAUAUAGAUAAAUGAUAGUCUAUUUUAUAUAUAUAUACACAAAGAUAUAUAAAUAUAGAUUGUAAAUAUAAAAAUAUUUAAAUAGAGUUAAAGUAAAUUGGGCAGUUUUAUUAGGGUAUAGGCUGGGGUUUUUAAAUGAUAGCAAUAA
This is a long non-coding RNA of Melospiza melodia melodia, 4487 nucleotides long. RefSeq lists it as uncharacterized. The transcript is spliced from 5 exons. Lineage: Eukaryota; Metazoa; Chordata; Aves; Passeriformes; Passerellidae. The record is from RefSeq and is a predicted model, not a curated record.